GGUUUUGUGUUGUUUCUUUAAGCAUGUGCACUACAGAGUUACCCAGAGUAAUCUAAGGGACAGCUGUUGCUGACUAUGCUGCAGCAGGACGGGAGCCGCUCUCUGCCCGUGCUGCCAGAGACGAGGCUUUCCAUCCUUUGCUUUGCACAGUCUGCUUGAUGUAAGCGCUGGCAAUUGGAGAAAGAGGACUUAAAUGGUGGGGAAAGCCCAAGGUGUAGUGCAAGCACAGACUGAACUGUAAAGCCAAAUGUUAAGGAGAGAACUCUUAAAUAAGAAGCUCUUUAAGAGGCAGAAGUGGAAGUGUGGAGGCUCAGGAAGCAAGGCAGCAAUGAUGCCUCCCUGUAUGGCAUGCCCUUGGAUUUGAUGCUUGCAUUUCCCUCUGCUUGCCAGGACCUUUUUAUCAGGAACAGUCAAUGCUACAUCAUAACAGCUCUGCAAACUACAAAAAAUUCAGCAACUGCUUCUGACAUUUAAAAACCAUUGUGAGCUUUCCUCUUUCCCUCUGCCGUGACUUGAUGGCCAGACAGGCGAAUAAGGCCCGUCCUCUGGAUGCACAAGCUGGAAAGAUAGGUCUGGUAAUGCCGCUUUCUAGUGUUAAGACCCGACCAACUUAUCUAGGACGAGACUCUUCUUAACAUGGAGAAACAAGUACCUGAAAUGGUUCCUCAGUCAGCCUGCUGGCCUCAAUAAAGUAAUUUGGCUCAGGGAAAGACACAUGCCAGUCCAUAUUUCCCACUGCAACAACAGACUUAUCAAAAUUGGUCAUGCCAGGGUCUCAAAACCUUCUUGAACAACAAUACUUCCUUGGAGACAUAGAGCUAAUGCUAGACAAAGGCCGACUUCCUGCAAUAUGCAUGUUGGUUACUGGUGCCAGAGAUUUACAACCACUGAUAAUAUAUUUUAAUUAUAUUCCAUAUCUGCGUAUCUCAGAGAAAGGAAAUAUGCUCUGUCAACCCAAAAGUAUUACUUUGCUUCAUGUAGAUUUGGAGGGGCAAGCUGGUUAUUCGCUUAGGGAAAAGCAACUACUUCAUACUUAAAGUUUCACCUACUUGGGGAAAUAGUGGGAAGGUUUCACACAUUUAUCAGCAAACACAUGGAUGCACAGCACUCAUGUAUGUGUCACCUAUUCUGUGCUUGUAAGGCCCCUUGAAUGCCUGCUGGGGAGAUCUUGCCCUCAGAGUAGCUACCAGGGCUACUAUAUGGCCAGGGACAUAGGUCAGUUGUUUGGAGAAAUGGUUCCAAAGAACAGGGUUUAAAUCCUGUUGCUGAAGGGUUGUGCUCAGGUUUUUAGAUAUGAGUUUGUUCUGGUGUAAAGAAUGGGACACUGUUUCUCUCUCUGCUGUAAAACUAGAGUCUAACAAUUUAGAAAAAAGAGUUGGAUCUUUCUCCUAAAACAAAUUCCUGUUUUUAAUGAGCAGUUCUUAAGAAAAACUUGAGCUGCUGUUGAUGGUGCCAGCAGCCUUUAAAUAUCUUACUUGCCUUCCCCAGAUCUCUGAAAGGGCUUCAGAACUCAACUGUCCUUCCUUGAGGAAUGGAGCUCUUCCUCCUCCCCAGCCUCCUACUCUUUUGAAUACCUUGUAACCUACCCAUCCUAGGAUCCAGUAAGCCUGGUGCUAGUAGGGAAUAGUUAGCUUUACUUUUGUUUCCUGCAAUUCUUGAAAGCUGAGCCAGUAAUCACAAAGCGACUGCCCAGGGAUAGUUGCAAACUGCUGCAAAUAGGAUACAAAAAAGGCAGGGAAGAGGAUGAAAUUGCAUGGAAAGGGCUGCUGCUGGAUCUGUGUAGGGCUGCAGCCUUCCCUCAAGGUGCUGAUGAUCCCUGGUAGCAUUGAAUUCCUGCAUAACUGAUCACAUAUUUCACUUUAAAUAGCUUGUCACUAAAUAUUUGUUGGUUAAACUCUUGUUUGAGGAGUCCUGAAAGAAACUUCUUGUCAGCCUUUGUUUUGGAGCUGUGUAUCAGCAAGGAAAUAAGAGGUGAGGAACCCAGUCUUGGUGUAGAAAGGGUGAAAAGACAUCUUUUUACUGGCUGUUUAUUUUGUCCCCUAAGCCUGGAUUAAAGGUAUAGGCAGUGUGUAUAUGUGAAGUUACUACAGUCCUGGAGUUGCUCCAUAGCAGUCACUGGAGCUGUACCCAAGGGUGGAACUUCAUUUGGUGUGGCACUUGUUACUCUUCUGGGAAACAGCAGAUCCUGACCACUAGUAGACUAGGAAGAAAGGUUGGUUUGCUUGUUUGUGUUUUUUUUUUAAGAAAAAGAAAAAUUACUUGAGGCAGUUAUUACAAUGUGACCCUGUCAACUGUACAAUGAAUUCCACCCUUCUGCUGCUGGUCCUGACCCUAUCUCUGCUGAAGCUGUGGGAAUGGUGACAUGCUGAGUGGUGUGAUAUUGAGGGUAUUUUUAAAGGGAAAAAAAAAUAGGGAAAGCACUCAGCAUAUGUGCUAGAAUCAAACAAGAAUGCGUAUUUGUGGAGGUCUUGCCUUGUUUUACCAGCAAUAUUUACUGCAGAAUCAUAAAUAAGAGAACCAUGGAAUGCUGGUUCAUAUUAAUGGGAGGUCUGCCCAUGAACCAAGCACUGUUGAGUAUUAGCAUAAUUUGACAACAAAGGUUUUAAUAGUGUCUUUCAAAAGAGUCUGUCUUUCAAACUGGCAUUUGUGAUCAUUUGCAAAAAUGCCUACCUGUUGCCUUUGAUUGUUUUAGCAAGAAGAAAUACCUCAAGGAAUUGAUAAAAGAUCCUAUGACAAUCUUUUACAGUUCCUAAAGACUUCAGUGGUCUCUGUUUCUUUGGUUUGCAUGUGUUCACACAGGUGUUACACAGCUCAGCUCUUCUCCACCAGGAAAAGCAGAAAAGACCAAACACAUCAAAUGCACUGGAAUGUAAUUGUGUGUGUGUGUGUGUGUGAGUGAGAGUGUUGUAUGUGUGUGUGUGUGUUCUUGAACUGAAUGCAGUCUGACAUCCCCUACCCCUUCUUUCUUCCAUGUGCCUCACCUUCCCCCUUAGCCACAGAAAGGAGGGUCUCUUCCUACGAAUCCCAUGCUGGAAGUUGGUUUCUGGGAAGCGAAACCUAAUGUCUGUGGGCUGUUUUUUAAAGCCAUGUUUCAGUUCUGUCUUCAGACUUUUUGCUGCCUUUGGGGGACAGAGGGGUGGGAAGGGUAGAUUGUUAAACUGUUUUUAAAAUCUAUUAUGGAAAUUUUGCAUGUAUAAAGUUAUUCUUAAAUCUAAAGGAGUCUCCCCAAUUUGUGGACAUGGCUCCAGGAGAGCAUCAUCACAGAUUCCUCAACUCAGUUUUAGAUGAGACUAUCCUGAAAGGAGUAUUUGAUGACAAAAGGGGGAGGGAUUGGUGUGAUGGAAGGACGACAGUGUCAGUAUAUCUUCAAAUACGUGUCAGAAGUUAGGCUUGUAAAAGGGAAAUUUUAAAGCAACCCACAGGAUAUGUAUGUCUGUUUCCACUGGGUCAUUUGAAAAUCCUGCCACUAAAUUUGAGUUUGGGUAUGUAGAUGUUGGGGUUUUUUGGUUAAAAUAAUCAUGGCUCUCUUCUAUUCUCUUCCAUGGUAUGUAGUAGAAUCUCCCAUGUUUCUAGGUGAAAUUCAUUGAUGAGAAUACUGUGAAAUAUGGAUUCACAUUUUUUUUCUCCUUCUUCCCCUCCUGCUUCCUGCAUGACUGUUCUUCAAUGGGGUAUUAAAAAAAACAAAACAAAACAAAAAAUAAAGCAACAAUGAAGUUGUUCAUCUUGAAAAUAAAAAGGGUAAGAUGAGCUAAAAUUUGCAAUGUACUUAAUAAACUUCCUCUCAGUGGAGGGUUUCCCCAUGACUUCUGAUUGUCACCAGAAUAUGAUGCUGUCCUGCUGCAGAAGUAAACCCGAUGCUCUCCUGUGAGAUUUCUGUCUGGAUUAGUCCUGAAGUGCACACACCUCCUUUGCCAUGGACUGAGACCCAGUGAGAAUGUAGCAUUUUCUUUAUCCUGGUUGUGUGCCUCCAGGACUUCUGCCUGUACCAAUGGUGAUUGGGCAGAGCUCCUUUUUUGUAUCUGUGCAGUAUAUUUGCUUUGUGCUUUCUUCUUUGGUGCUUUUUAAUACUUUAAUACUUGGAUUUUUUUUUUCUAAUAACUGGUACAAUUUUUAAUAAAAUUGUUAAAUUUG
This is a non-coding RNA of Pseudopodoces humilis (Tibetan ground-tit), 4131 nucleotides long. The record is from RefSeq and is a predicted model, not a curated record. NCBI's taxonomy places the organism in Eukaryota, Metazoa, Chordata, Aves, Passeriformes, Paridae.